Vicia villosa (hairy vetch) is the source of this 93-nucleotide small nucleolar RNA. NCBI's taxonomy places the organism in Eukaryota, Viridiplantae, Streptophyta, Magnoliopsida, Fabales, Fabaceae. The record is from RefSeq and is a predicted model, not a curated record.
GUUGGGCAAAUGAUGAAUCUGACAUGGUGUAAAUGGGUAAUUUGCAUCUAAAUAUCUUAAUGUUAAUAUCACCUUGGAAAAUUGAUGCCCUAA